RNAcentral lists this ribosomal RNA (398 nucleotides) under uncultured bacterium. Its description in RNAcentral is "partial 16S ribosomal RNA". It matches the Rfam family "Bacterial small subunit ribosomal RNA", at positions 523 to 918 of the family's 1533-position model. The record is from RNAcentral.
AUACGUAGGGUGCGAGCGUUGUCCGGAAUUACUGGGCGUAAAGAGCUCGUAGGUGGUUUGUCGCGUCGUCUGUGAAAUUCCGGGGCUUAACUCCGGGCGUGCAGGCGAUACGGGCAUAACUUGAGUACUGUAGGGGAGACUGGAAUUCCUGGUGUAGCGGUGAACUGCGCAGAUAUCAGGAGGAACACCGGUGGCGAAGGCGGGUCUCUGGGCAGUAACUGACGCUGAGGAGCGAAAGCAUGGGUAGCGAACAGGAUUAGAUACCCUGGUAGUCCAUGCCGUAAACGGUGGGCGCUAGGUGUAGGGGUCUUCCACGACUUCUGUGCCGUAGCUAACGCAUUAAGCGCCCCGCCUGGGGAGUACGGCCGCAAGGCUAAAACUCAAAGGAGUUGACGGGG